This 299-nucleotide ribosomal RNA is filed under the name uncultured bacterium. Its description in RNAcentral is "partial 16S ribosomal RNA". It matches the Rfam family "Bacterial small subunit ribosomal RNA", at positions 775 to 1067 of the family's 1533-position model. The record is from RNAcentral.
GGAUUAGAUACCCUGGUAGUCCACGCCCUAAACGAUGAGAACUAGCCGUUGGGGGUAUUAGAAACCUUUAGUGGCGCAGCUAACGCGAUAAGUUCUCCGCCUGGGGAGUACGGCCGCAAGGUUAAAACUCAAAGGAAUUGACGGGGGCCCGCACAAGCGGUGGAGCAUGUGGUUUAAUUCGACGCAACGCGCAGAACCUUACCAGCCCUUGACAUGGGGGUCGCGGAGACCGGAGACGGUUUCUUUCAGUUCGGCUGGACCCCACACAGGUGCUGCAUGGCCGUCGUCAGCUCGUGCUG